UACGGAGGAUCCAAGCGUUAUCCGGAUUUAUUGGGUUUAAAGGGUGCGUAGGCGGUUUAUUAAGUCAGUGGUGAAAGACGGUCGCUCAACGAUUGCAGUGCCAUUGAUACUGGUAGACUUGAGUGAGAUUGAGGUAGCUGGAAUGGAUAGUGUAGCGGUGAAAUGCAUAGAUAUUAUCCAGAACACCAAUUGCGUAGGCAAGUUACUAAGUCUCAACUGACGCUGAGGCACGAAAGUGCGGGUAUCAAACAGG
This 253-nucleotide ribosomal RNA is filed under the name uncultured bacterium. RNAcentral's name for it is "partial 16S ribosomal RNA". It matches the Rfam family "Bacterial small subunit ribosomal RNA", at positions 524 to 776 of the family's 1533-position model. The record is from RNAcentral.